GCUGUCAUAGUAUAGCGGUUAGUACUUCGCGUUGUGGCCGCGACGACCCAGGUUCGACUCCUGGUGACAGCA
Tetranychus urticae (two-spotted spider mite) is the source of this 72-nucleotide transfer RNA. It matches the Rfam family "tRNA". Rfam says of the family: Transfer RNA (tRNA) molecules are approximately 80 nucleotides in length. Their secondary structure includes four short double-helical elements and three loops (D, anti-codon, and T loops). Further hydrogen bonds mediate the characteristic L-shaped molecular structure. tRNAs have two regions of fundamental functional importance: the anti-codon, which is responsible for specific mRNA codon recognition, and the 3' end, to which the tRNAs corresponding amino acid is attached (by aminoacyl-tRNA synthetases). tRNAs cope with the degeneracy of the genetic code in two manners: having more than one tRNA (with a specific anti-codon) for a particular amino acid; and 'wobble' base-pairing, i.e. permitting non-standard base-pairing at the 3rd anti-codon position. Lineage: Eukaryota; Metazoa; Arthropoda; Arachnida; Trombidiformes; Tetranychidae. The record is from Rfam.